This 742-nucleotide ribosomal RNA is filed under the name uncultured crenarchaeote. Its description in RNAcentral is "bacterial SSU rRNA". It matches the Rfam family "Archaeal small subunit ribosomal RNA", at positions 534 to 1280 of the family's 1478-position model. Lineage: Archaea; Thermoproteati; Thermoproteota. The record is from RNAcentral.
CAAGUCUCUCGUUAAAUCCGGCGAUUCAAUCGUUGGACUGCGGGAGAUACUGUUAGGCUAGGAGGCGGGAGAAGCCGACGGUAUUUCCGGGGUAGGGGUAAAAUCCUAUAAUCCCGGGAGGACCACCAGUGGCGUAUGCGGUCGGCUAGCACGCGCUCGACGGUGAGGGACGAAAGCUGGGGGAGCAAACCGGAUUAGAUACCCGGAUAGUCCCAGCUGUAAACGAUGCGGGCUAGGUGUUGGGGUGGCCACGAGCCACUUCAGUGCCGCAGGGAAGCCAUUAAGCCCGCCGCCUGGGGAGUACGGCCGCAAGGCUGAAACUUAAAGGAAUUGGCGGGGGAGCGCCACAAGGGGUGAAGCUUGCGGUUCAAUUGGAGUCAACGCCGGGAACCUUACCGGGGGCGACAGCAGGUUGAAAGCCAGAUUGACGAUCUUGCUGACGAGCUGAGAGGAGGUGCAUGGCCGUCGCCAGUUCGUGCCGUGAGGUGUCCUGUCAAGUCAGGCAACGAUCGAGACCCACGCUCCCUGUUGCUACCGAGGAGUUUUCCAAGGGGCACUCUGGGGGGACUGCCCUCGAUAAGACGGAGGAAGGGGUGGGCUACGGCAGGUCAGUAUGCCCCGAAUCCUCCGGGCCACACGCGAGCUGCAAUGGUUGGGACAGUGGGUUCCGACCUCGAAAGGGGGAGGCAAUCCCGAAACCCAGCCUCAGUUUGGAUCGAGGGCUGAAACCCGCCCUCGUGAA